Molecule: ribosomal RNA, 253 nt
Filed under: uncultured bacterium
Lineage: Bacteria
Description: partial 16S ribosomal RNA
Rfam family: Bacterial small subunit ribosomal RNA
Source: RNAcentral
UACAGAGGUCCCAAGCGUUGUUCGGAUUCACUGGGCGUAAAGGGUGCGUAGGCGGUCGGGUAAGUCUGACGUGAAAUCUCCAAGCUCAACUUGGAAAUGGCGUCGGAUACUAUUCGGCUUGAGGAGUGGAGGGGAGACUGGAAUUCUCGGUGUAGCAGUGAAAUGCGUAGAUAUCGAGAGGAACACCAGUGGCGAAGGCGAGUCUCUGGACACUUCCUGACGCUGAGGCACGAAAGCCAGGGGAGCAAACGGG